Molecule: non-coding RNA, 72 nt
Organism: Pangasius djambal
Lineage: Eukaryota; Metazoa; Chordata; Actinopteri; Siluriformes; Pangasiidae
Source: the annotation of a GenBank genome assembly
UCCCUGGAGGACUAAUGGUUAGGCCACAGCGCUGUCAGCACUACGGCCCGGGUUCGAUUCCCAGCCACAGUG